RNAcentral lists this ribosomal RNA (427 nucleotides) under Babesia occultans. RNAcentral's name for it is "SSU rRNA". It matches the Rfam family "Eukaryotic small subunit ribosomal RNA", at positions 537 to 1027 of the family's 1831-position model. The record is from RNAcentral. Lineage: Eukaryota; Apicomplexa; Aconoidasida; Piroplasmida; Babesiidae.
CAGAGUACCAAUUGGAGGGCAAGUCUGGUGCCAGCAGCCGCGGUAAUUCCAGCUCCAAUAGCGUAUAUUAAACUUGUUGCAGUUAAAAAGCUCGUAGUUGAAUUUCAGCGUUUCGCGUGUGCCUCUUUUGGCCCAUCUCGUCUCGCUUUUUUUAUUACUUUGAGAAAAUUAGAGUGUUUCAAGCAGGCUUUUGUCUUGAAUACUUGAGCAUGGAAUAAUAGAGUAGGACCUUGGUUCUAUUUUGUUGGUUUUGUUACCUUGGUAAUGGUUAAUAGGAACGGUUGGGGGCAUUCGUAUUUAACUGUCAGAGGUGAAAUUCUUAGAUUUGUUAAAGACGAACUACUGCGAAAGCAUUUGCCAAGGACGUUUCCAUUAAUCAAGAACGAAAGUUAGGGGAUCGAAGACGAUCAGAUACCGUCGUAGUCCU